UAUGAACAUUGGAGCAAAAGCCAAAGCCGGGGGCAGCCGACCCCUGGCUCCCCGCCUGCCCAGCUCCUCAGUACCAGGGCCUCUUGGGACUCCUAAAAGAUCAGGAACAGUGCCCCUACGAGCCACUGCUGAACCCCGAACUGUGGUGAAGAGGUCUCCAGGGGAACAGGCAGGAAGAGCAACCGCUGUCCCCAAGGUGACCACAGCCCUAUCUGGGCCCCCCAGAACCAGCAAGACAGGCUACAAUGUUCCUAGCACAGUGUCCAGGCAGCCUUUGGUGAGGAAAGCGGAACCAGCCCCAGGUGCUGGCCAAGCUUCCAGGAAUGACCCUUCUCCAAGAAUGUCUCCCCUUCAGACUGGUCCCUCCACAAGCAGGCCAGGGUCUCAGGGCUCCAAAGUGUGCACCCUAGCCAAGCAAGUCCGCUCUGCCCCAGCAGAGUCUGCAGCCAAGGCUAAAACAGCACUAGCUUCUACCCCCACAGGACGGAGCAAUGUGGCCCCAGCAGAGGCCAGGAGAGAUACUGCUCGACCAGCUCAGGGAGCCCAAGCCUCAAGGGCUGGGCUCCCUGGGUCACGUCUGCCUGGAGCCUCAGGACCUGAACCAGGGUCUCCGCGGGCUCCCCCCAAAUCCAAGGCCAGGCCCUCUCCCCUGCCCAAAGCCACAGCCCCUAGAAGAACCCCCAAGAGCCCUGGGGACCCUGUCUCCAGCCCAGCCUCUAUGGCCAGGAGGAAGUCCAGGGAAGGUUCUGUCGGGGUUCAGUCCCGCCUUCCUGGACCCACCCGUCGCCAGGACCGAGCCUCUACUGCCUCACUGGCCCAGCCCUCUCUUCAGGCCCCGCCCUCGACCGGCUCAGUAAUGCGGUCCACGGGUCCUUCCCUUCCCUCUAUACCUCCACCUAAUAGAAAAGAUAAGCAGGCCCACCCAUAGCCACGCCCCCUAAACAAGCCCUUCCCCCUUCCUUGCCCACACCUCCUCCAGAAGCCAAUUCUUCUCUGUCCACAUCUCCCCAGCAGCCCCUAUUCUCUCCCUUAGCCACACCUUCUCAACAAACCACGCCCCCUUCAUUGACCACACCCUCUCCACAAAUCAAAUCCUCUCUGUCCACAUCUCCCCAGGAGGCUCCACCCUCUCCCUUAGCCACAACUCCUAAACAAGCCCCUCCCCCUCCCUUGCCCACACCCCCUCCAGAAGUGAAUCCCUCUCUAUCCACAUCUCCCCAGCAGGCUCCACCCUCUCCCUUAACCACACCCUCUAAACAAGCCCCUCCCCCUUCCUUGCCCACAUUCCCUCUAGAAGCCAAUCCUUCUCUGUUCACAUCUCCCCAGCAGGCUCCACCCUCUCCCUUAGCCAUACCUCCUAAACAAUCCCCUCCCCCUUCCUUGCCCACACCCCCUCCAGAAGUCAAUCCCUCUGUCCAUCUCCCCAGCAGGCUCCACCCUCUCCCUUAGCCACACCUCCUAAACAAGCCCCUCCCCCUUCCUUGCCCACACCUCCUCCAGAAGCCAAUCCUUCACUGUUCAUAUCUCCCCAGCAGGCUCCACCCUCUCCCUUAGCCACACCUCCCAAACAAGGCCCUCCCCCUUCCUUGCCCACACCCCCUCCAGAAGCCAAUUCUUCUCUGUCCACAUCUCCCCAGCAGGCUCCAUCCUCUCCCUUAACCACACCCCCUCCAGAAGUCAAUUUCUCUCUGUUCAUAUCUCCCCAGCAGGCUCCACCUUCUCCUUUAGCCACCAGUCAUCUCCAGACCCAUCCUUCUCCCUCAGCCACAUCACUUCCUCAGGCUCCUCCCUCUCUGACCACAGCCCCUCAACGGGCUCCACCUUCUCCUCCCUUAGCCACACCCUUCCUCCAGGCCCCAUCCCCUCCAGCCACACCUCAUCCCGAGGCCCCUCCCUCUCCUGUGGCCACACCUAUCCAGGGUAUUCUC
Phascolarctos cinereus (koala) is the source of this 1928-nucleotide long non-coding RNA. The record is from Ensembl. NCBI's taxonomy places the organism in Eukaryota, Metazoa, Chordata, Mammalia, Diprotodontia, Phascolarctidae.